AUAUGCCUUUUGGUGGGGGACAACAGUUGGAAACGACUGCUAAUACCGCAUGAUGUCUACGGACCAAAGUGGGGGACCUUCGGGCCUCACGCCAAAAGAUUAGCCCAAGUGGGAUUAGCUAGUUGGUAAGGUAAUGGCUUACCAAGGCAACGAUCCCUAGCUGGUUUGAGAGGAUGAUCAGCCACACUGGGACUGAGACACGGCCCAGACUCCUACGGGAGGCAGCAGUGGGGAAUAUUGCACAAUGGGCGAAAGCCUGAUGCAGCCAUGCCGCGUGUGUGAAGAAGGCCUUCGGGUUGUAAAGCACUUUCAGUAAGGAGGAAAGGGAUGUAGUUAAUAGCUGCAUUCUGUGACGUUACUUACAGAAGAAGCACCGGCUAACUUCGUGCCAGCAGCCGCGGUAAUACGAGGGGUGCAAGCGUUAAUCGGAAUUACUGGGCGUAAAGCGUUCGUAGGCGGUUAUUUAAGCAAGAUGUGAAAGCCCAGGGCUCAACCUUGGAACUGCAUUUUGAACUGGAUGACUAGAGUACUGUAGAGGGUGGUGGAAUUUCCAGUGUAGCGGUGAAAUGCGUAGAGAUUGGAAGGAACAUCAGUGGCGAAGGCGGCCACCUGGACAGAUACUGACGCUGAGGAACGAAAGCGUGGGGAGCGAACAG
Molecule: ribosomal RNA, 656 nt
Filed under: uncultured bacterium
Lineage: Bacteria
Description: bacterial SSU rRNA
Rfam family: Bacterial small subunit ribosomal RNA
Source: RNAcentral